Molecule: long non-coding RNA, 1172 nt
Filed under: Cairina moschata (Muscovy duck)
Lineage: Eukaryota; Metazoa; Chordata; Aves; Anseriformes; Anatidae
Description: domestica (muscovy Duck (domestic type)) lncRNA (ENSCMMG00000013766.1)
Source: RNAcentral
ACCAGCCCUGAGGCCCCCUCUCCUCACAGAGCCCCCGGGGGGGGGCGCUGGGCGGGCGUCCUCCCCUCCUUCCCGCCCGCCGCCGCUGGGUGGCGCGCGCGGCCCGCUGAGGGGAGGCGAGGCGGCGGGCAGGCCCCGCCGGGGGCCGUGAGGCGGAGCGGCGGCCGGGGGCGGAGCGGGGGCCGCCGGCUGCUCGGCCGGGACCCGGCGAGGCGAUGCUGCGGCCGGGGACACCGCCGGAGCCCCGGGCGGGGGCUGAGGACAGCGAGAUGGAUGUGGCUGCUACUCUAUCAUUUGUUUUUGUGGAAACCGAGUCCUCUGGCGGCUAAGGAGAAUCAACAGUGGAUAGAAGGGAACUUUAAAAUGCCAUCUGGAAGUGGUGCUGUUGUGCCUUUGGCUAAGGUUUUGGGAUACGUUCAAACGUCACUGCUCCCCUCACUACCUAUUUUCUUUGUCAGUACUAGCCUUGGUGUGGCUCUGUUAUGAAUUGAGUUGAACUGAUCUGAGUUAACGUGAUUUGGCAAAGAAAUUAAUGGUUAAUUUUCAACCCAGAAUAGCUUUCUGAUUCAUUCUGCUGAGAAUGUUUCUCCUCUCGCAUGGAAAGUGUUGAUUUUAGGGGCAUAAGUGAGUGAUGGAAGAGGAUAGACUAUUUUUGUCGUCGAUGUCAGCUUAUAUAAUUUUAAAGUGAUUGUGGAAUUACUGUCUUAACUAAGGAGGACUUGGCACCCUAUGUUUUCAUCAUAACUUUGAAAUAUAUUUAAUGGGCUUUAUUUCAGAUCUUAGUGAUAAAUAUACAGUAAUUCCUAGAAUCACCCGCAAGGAGCUCCUAUGGUCUGCUUAGUAAGCACCUAAUUAAAGAUAAUUGUAAAUGUGUUGCUUACGCUGAUUUGCAGCAGGUUCCUUUUAACCAUUUCUGAAGGUGUUGUAAACGUUCUGAGCCCCUAAUAAUGUUGUUUUCCUCUCUUGCAGUUGAUAAGUAACUGCUAAUUAUUUGGAGCCAAGUUUUUGUUUUUUUAGACACAUAAUUUUGGCUUUUUUUUCUUGCCUACUGUGGUCUUCUAGUAGCAUGCCUUGAAGAAAUAGUGUUAAGGUUUGUUUGCAUCUAUUUUUUAUUGUUUUGUAUUAUUGUUGUCUUCUGUUAUGUUUCAGGCUGUGCAACACUUAAGAGUGAA